RNAcentral lists this small nuclear RNA (164 nucleotides) under Salmo trutta (river trout). RNAcentral's name for it is "U1 spliceosomal RNA (ENSSTUG00000021647.1)". It matches the Rfam family "U1 spliceosomal RNA". From Rfam's summary of the family: U1 is a small nuclear RNA (snRNA) component of the spliceosome (involved in pre-mRNA splicing). Its 5' end forms complementary base pairs with the 5' splice junction, thus defining the 5' donor site of an intron. There are significant differences in sequence and secondary structure between metazoan and yeast U1 snRNAs, the latter being much longer (568 nucleotides as compared to 164 nucleotides in human). The record is from Rfam by way of RNAcentral. Lineage: Eukaryota; Metazoa; Chordata; Actinopteri; Salmoniformes; Salmonidae.
AUACUUACCUGGCAAGGGAGACACCGUGAUCAAGAAGGCGGUUCACCCAGGGCGAGGCUCAGCCAUUGCACUCCGGCUGUGCUGACCCCUGCGAAUUUCCCAAAUGUGGAAAUCUCGAUUGCAUAAUUUCUGGUAGUGGUGGACUGCGUUCGCGCUCUCCCCUG